GGUGAUCGGUUCAAGAAAAGAUAUUUCCCCCUGGACCAUUAUGCCCUUAUCGCAAUUAACAUAUUAAAUUUAAUCAAUUAAAAUUCCCCGCAAGAUCGGACGGCUAAUAAAAAUCAGACGUGAUCAGACAUGUAAGUACUGCUAAGUACUCCAAGUACUAACCCAAUCACCGUAAAACAGCUCUCUGAAUAAUAGUUUGAAUUUGUCUAAUUAAACAUUCAGUAUACAUAUAGUGUUUUAUGUUUUUCACCACCGAAAUCCAUGGUACUAAGUAAUUUACUUAAUCUAUUAACAUCUGACAUACUUCAUAUAUUAGGCAAAUGCAACCUAUGCCUCAGCUAAUUGAUAAAUUGAACCUCCCUACCAUAUUCAGAACUGGCAUGAUGCAGAACUCGCAUGGCGUACCCUGUUACAAAGGGAAAAAAUAUAUAAUUUUGUUACUUUGUACAUUUUGUUCUUGGUUUCUGAAGAACCAAGUGGAACCUAGAUUUUCAUCGAUCUCUACGUCAUUGUUCAUUAUCUAGAACUAUGCAUGAUAUUGCAUCUGGGCACUUAAAUUUUGGUUUAAGUUUUGUGGGCUGUGCAUAUCCGAUAUGGAAAUCAUCUUGCCUUAUCAUUAGGUCAGCUCAAUCCCAGCGGACAAUUUCUUUGUUGCUCUAUUAUGGGGUUGUUUGGAUUGGAUCCCAGAGCCGCCGUGCCACAAAAUUGGUCGUUGACAGAGUGGUUGCUAUGCGUUUGGAUGGACGCCGAUUCUUUGGCGUGCCCAGGCUAGCUCCACAUCUCAGUUCAAUUCCACGCCAGUUAUUUGGCGAGAAGCAGGCGGCCGAUUGCUCUGCCAAAAUUUUGGUGCCCCCGUGAUUGGCAGGGUUGGCUCGGGCAGCAUCCAAACAGGCCAUAUAUAUUUAUAUUAAACCAUAUGUUUAUAUCUUUCUGGUGAUGCAUUUGGUUUCUAAAUUGAUAUUUUUUUAAAAGUGCAUUGAUCCUUGGUGGUGAGAAAAAUUUUACUACAAGUUCAGUUUCUAUAGUGUUGCAAAAAAGUUGACUACUAAAUACUGAUGCAUACUAGACACACAACUUAUUUGAUUCCCAUUGCCAUAUAUCAACCUAGCUGAACUAAAGAUGACUAUUGAUGUUUCUAUAUGGUUUGCAGUUCGGUCGGUGCCGUGGUGGAGGGUUGUCUUGUGGUUUGACCGGAGCGGGGGCACACCAAAGAAGUGAUCUCGUCCCCAUUGGUCAGAUUAUCCAACCCCCUCUGCUUCUGUACAAUUUUGUCGACUUAUCUGGCAUUUUCUCGGCCGUGUGGAACCAGCACAUCUACCUGCGAAUCUCCAGGCUAUGGUACCAGCGGGGUGGCUUUGAUGAUGGCCCUAUCAAGAGUAUACAUGUGUGCUCUUCUGUAGGGAAAUCAUGCCAACGAGACGGUGCCUAAUGAGGUCAUAGACAUGUUUGUGGACACUUUGCAUGAGAGAAAUUUAUACAAGUGUGCCAGGAUCCAUGUGAGGUUCCCUGUAACAAUUCUGAGGGCAGUGGAAGGCACGUAUACGUUAUGGAUCACUAGAUCAACAAUUGUCCAUCACCUUAGGGUGUUCCAUUUGGUCAUGUUUGUUAACAUGCUUAGUUGCUUCUUCUUUAUUAUGUUUCUACUCCAAUAACUUUCUCAUAUUAUAUCACUUUUGUUAUUAACCAUCGUAUCGAAUGGCUGCGCUUUUGAUUUCGAGCUUCCUAUCGAGUGACUUUUUUUAAUCUAAUGAACGAACUGAGAUCGAUUAUGCCUUAUAGUUUCAUGCUGGUACUGAGUAGUAUUAUGUCUCACUUCUAUCAUGUUUGAAUGUUUCUCUUUCGCUGUAUUGUUACCAUAUAUGAAUACAUAUGAUAUACAUGUAUUGCUACUGGCUAAGCAUUCCCUA
This is a non-coding RNA of Aegilops tauschii subsp. strangulata, 1907 nucleotides long. NCBI's taxonomy places the organism in Eukaryota, Viridiplantae, Streptophyta, Magnoliopsida, Poales, Poaceae. The record is from RefSeq and is a predicted model, not a curated record.